This 27-nucleotide non-coding RNA is filed under the name Bombyx mori (domestic silkworm). The record is from RNAcentral. Lineage: Eukaryota; Metazoa; Arthropoda; Insecta; Lepidoptera; Bombycidae.
UGACCAAAUUUAAUUGGGCGUAGUGUA